Molecule: unclassified non-coding RNA, 232 nt
Filed under: Hyponectriaceae sp.
Lineage: Eukaryota; Fungi; Ascomycota; Sordariomycetes; Amphisphaeriales; Hyponectriaceae
Description: partial contains small subunit ribosomal RNA, internal transcribed spacer 1, and 5.8S ribosomal RNA
Rfam family: Eukaryotic small subunit ribosomal RNA (bases 1-46)
Source: RNAcentral
AAGUCGUAACAAGGUCUCCGUUGGUGAACCAGCGGAGGGAUCAUUACAGAGUCGUAAAAAACUCCCAAACCCAUGUGAAUCUACCAUUGUUGCCUCGGCGGGGCCUACCCCGUACCUACCCUGUAGUUACCCUGUAGCCCGCCGGUGGACACCUAAACUCUUGUUAUUAUAUGGAAAUCUGAGCGUCUUAUUAAAUAAGUCAAAACUUUCAACAACGGAUCUCUUGGUUCUG